This 264-nucleotide ribosomal RNA is filed under the name uncultured Pseudomonas sp. RNAcentral's name for it is "partial 16S ribosomal RNA". It matches the Rfam family "Bacterial small subunit ribosomal RNA", at positions 1120 to 1382 of the family's 1533-position model. The record is from RNAcentral. Lineage: Bacteria; Pseudomonadati; Pseudomonadota; Gammaproteobacteria; Pseudomonadales; Pseudomonadaceae.
AGCACGUUAUGGUGGGCGACUCUAAGGAGACUGCCGGUGACAACCGGAGGAAGGUGGGGAUGACGUCAAGUCAUCAUGGCCCUUACGGCCUGGGCUACACACGUGCUACAAUGGUCGGGUACAAAGGGUUGCCAAGCCGCGAGGUGGAGCUAAUCCCAUAAAACCGAUCGUAGUCCGGAUCGCAGUCUGCAACUCGACUGCGUGAAGUCGGAAUCGCUGGUAAUCGUGAAUCAGAAUGUCACGGUGAAUACGUUCCCGGGCCUU